RNAcentral lists this non-coding RNA (24 nucleotides) under Arabidopsis thaliana (thale cress). The record is from RNAcentral. Lineage: Eukaryota; Viridiplantae; Streptophyta; Magnoliopsida; Brassicales; Brassicaceae.
ACACCCGGCGUGUAACCUCCUGAU